Molecule: long non-coding RNA, 5640 nt
Filed under: Phaseolus vulgaris (common bean)
Lineage: Eukaryota; Viridiplantae; Streptophyta; Magnoliopsida; Fabales; Fabaceae
Description: long non-coding RNA (PVUL_LNC001545)
Source: RNAcentral
CCCAUAUAUCUCUUAUAAAUGCUCUCUAGAAUAUAUCUUUUUGGAACUUUUCUGUUUCUCCUUUUGUGUGAAUAUAGUCUUUAUCUUUAAUUUUUUUUGUCUAAACUUUAGGUUAUCUGCAACUCAUAUAUGAUAUGGAACCGUAUUUCAGAAAACAAUGAGAGACUGUGCACCUGGUGAAAACCUACUCGAGCCAGUUAAUGCUGCCGGAGAAGUUGGGGAUGUUGAUUCAACAAGUACGUGAUUCCUUAUGUCUUUCUAAUUAGGGGGUUUCAUCCUUUUUCUGGAUAAAUGUUAGAGGAUGAACUUUUGUUAUGGCUUAUAAAUGGUGAUAAUAGAACUUGCUACAUAACCUGUGAACAAUCUUUGUUUAGAUGCUCCACUUGAGCUGAGGAAAGGAGAUAUGUUAAUUUGUUAGGAAAAUGAAUUCACUUGGUCCACUCUUAACCAAGUUACAUCACACAAUCAAAAGGCCAGGAUGUUAUUGUAGUUCCUACGGCAGUCUGUUUUAAAACAGGAUGGAUAUUUAUUGGUUUGUUUUUCUCAAUGCCAGAUUCUUUGCUUGAAUUUUUAGUAUAUAUGUGUAGUUAAAUAUUAUUUGUCGAAAGGUUUAUCUCACAGCUUUAUUACUAGUUUGAGCACACUUAAUUUUGUUUUCUUUUCUAGUAAGGAGAAUUUCUUAUCUUUAUACUAAUUGUAAAAAAUGAUGCAUCUGAUAGGUGAUUCAAGCAACAAUUAUCUCAGAAGACUACCACAGAAACCACUACUUCCCUAUAUUACAAGUAUUUUGGCUCAAAUAACAGUGAAACUGUUAACUUGUAUUUAUGUAAUACUUGCGGCAUUGGGGAGAUUGUUUUCGGUUCACUCUGUAGACAACCAACCAAGAAACCAUGGGAGAACCCAAACAGCACAAUCCAAUUGCCAGGAACUUUUAAUUAGUCCGGCAAUGAAAGAGCCACUUUGGCAGAGGUUGCAGAAUUUAGAGGCGGUGGUUACUGAGAUGGCCAAUAAACCUAAAACAAUUCCUCCUGAAAAAGAGGAUAUUCUUCAAGAAUCAUUAAGUCGUAUAAAAUGUAUAGAAUAUGACUUGCAAAAAACAAAGAAGGUAGUGCCAGUCUCCUACCCAUUAUACCUAUCACAGAAAGUCAUUUUUCUGAGAAUUUACAUUUGUGUUGAUUGAGUUUGCUGCUUCAUGUCAGGCCCUGCUAGCAACUGCUUCAAAGCAAGUUGAACUUGCUGAAUCAUUGGAAAACUUAAAGGAGGGUAGAUUUGAUGUAAGUUGCUAUUGGCCCUCGCGUUCAAUUUGGUAAUUUAGCAUAGAAAUUUAAUGGACUGUCUUAUAAUGAUGCUUUGAUCUGAGUACAUACCUUUCAGCUCAUCUGAUGCAGAGUUUAAUUUGGAAGAUUUUCUCAUAUAUACAUUUCUAAUGAGUGAGUCAUAUAAACUAGUGUAAUCAAGGUUGUUCUUUAGAGUCGCACUCACGAUAACUCCCUUUAAUAUCCUAUCGUCCUUAUAGCAAUUACGUAAGUUGUUAAAUCAAAUAAUUGGGCCUUCAAAGUAUAUCGGACAAGUAAAAUGUUAUUUUAAUAGGAAACUAUUACCAGGUAAUUGCGACUGCACGUAUCCAAAAGUAAGGCUACAUUAUCCACCGCCAUUAUAUGCUCUGGAUUUUACUUUGAGCUGAGGUCCUUCCUCAAUUUGAGCUGUGCACACUCUGCGUUACAGUUCAAUAUAUUACUCAAUCGGAGUUGUUGUGUACAUCCUUUGUAUUGUUUUAAUGCAUUAUUCUCUAGAGAAAGUGUUGAUGGGUUUUGGUGAUAAUUUUUUUCCUGCUAUUACUUGAGUUUAAUGCUUGUAUACAGUAUAUAUACAUAUAACUUUUUCCUUAUUACAGGGGUCAAACUCAUGUUGGCCAAAAAAUAGAAGUUAUGGCCCAGGAAGAUGAGUAUCCCUUUUUCCAGCAUCUGUUUGCAGGGGUUGCUAGUCCAUUGUUUUUAUACUCUACAGCUGAAUUUCUACCAGAUCUACAUUUCCAUUGGCUUAUGUAAAACAACUGCUCUCAUUCUCAUAGGUGACUUUCCUUGUAUUUAUGUUAUAAACACAAUAUUAUAGUCUCAGUUUCCCUGACAGAAACAGUGGUAUCUUGUGAUAUUCAUUUCUUUUCAGGUUUGAGGAAUGGGCCAUGGGGAGAUAGCCCAAUGAUGUAUAGAAGGCAUGAAGAAAUUUUUAUGAGGAUUCUGGACUCGAAUUAUUCCUUUCUAAUGUAUAACUGAGUGUGUUGUUAACCACAUUUAUUUUCAUAUUGGCUUUUCUGUACAGAGGACAUAGAUACAAAAAUGUGCUAUUCAAUUUCGGAUGUAUUUUAGUACCAAUUGCAUAUAUACAGAAGAAACAUUUUCUGUAAUACGUUGUAACAAAUAGCAAGAGGCUUAACAGUAAAUUUUGGAUUUUUACUAGAGGCUGUGCUUUCCCCUGAUAUCCGUAGUUUUGGAUGAUUUUCAUUACUCUGGUUUUCGGAGAAUCUGGUAGAAUCAAUUGAAUAGUCAACAGUCGAGUGCUUUACUAUAUAUAUUAGAAAUAAAUAAAUGAAAAUCUGUAAAUCUUUUAAUGAUCAAACUACUGAAAUUGAUUCAAUAGAACAUUUGGAAAUGUACCAGGUUCUUAGUUUGGUUAUCCUUAGUGUGUUAGUUAUUUAAGAGCUCUUAAUUCGCCUAUGCCGGUCUUUAAUUACUUGAAAUAUUUAAUUAUUUGCGUUAAAUAAUGAAUAUUUAUGCAUUAAAUAGUCUUUAAUUGACAUUUAUAAUAGGGCAGGGAAGAAUUCCUCUAGGAAUAUGUACAACAAUUAAAUUUAAUAUAAUAGAUAUUAAUACAUCUUGUUUUCUCAAAUGACACUUACACAUACUAUAUUAUUUUUCAUCAUUACUAUAUUUCUUUUCAUCAAUACAGUAGUAACUUCUAUUUUUCUCCAUCAUUGCAAUAACUUUUGUUAAGGGAAUGCAUGUGUAAUGUAAAAAAAAUGUGUAUAUGUAAUGUUUUUAAAAACAAAUGGAUAGUUUGUGUAACAUUUAAAAAUUGGGAUGUGGGUGUUUUUUUCAAAAAGCCUGAAGAGAUGUUACUCUAAUUUACUGGAGUAAAUAACAAUGUGUGAUGUUAUAUUUCUUUGAAGGAGAUCUCUUUAUUUCCAAGAUAAUUCAUUUAGGUUAUCUUUUUCAUUUAUUUCCAAAAAAUAUGUUGAUGAAAAUAAAUAUUUUCUUAGUAGGUUAUUGAAAUAUAUUCUUGACUAUUUUUAUUCUUAGAAAAUUUCAUACACUUUUACUUUUAAGGACUGAAAAUUUCAUACACUUUUACUUUUAAGGACUUUUAUUUGUAUGAAAAGGAGUGAGUAUAUCAGAGUGAAGAUAUUUCAAAUACACAAGAAUAAAUAAUUGAAUUGUGUAUUUAUUUAUUUUUUAAAAUUUUGUCAUAAAGUUUAGUCUGAAAGAUGUUGAGACACAUUUUAAUGUUGGAUAGAUGCACUUUCAAGCAAGUUCGUCAAAUGCAAAACAAACACAUUGUCUAAAAUACUGUUCAACGUUUCGUUUUUGCAAAUCUCUUAGAUUAGUUGCAAAUUUAUAUCAUGCAAUGAAAAAGAAUAAUGGUUGAGAAAGAUCAACAAAAUGUAUUUUUAUACUAAUUUGUUUGAAAAUCUAGACUACAUUUCUUGAUCAACAUGGUCAAGGCUCCACUAAUAUAGACUAACGAUACAAAGUACAAGGUAAAUGCUAUUUACAUUCAACCACUUUUUGUCUAAAUUAUAACUGUACUUGCCUGGUUCGAGAUCGGGCACGACCGUUGGCUCAGGAUGAGUAUCCAAGUUCGUAACCAAUCCUUUAUUUGUUAUAAAGGGCAAUCAAGAAGAAAACAACCUAAUCAACAUGCCUUAAAGGAGGAAUGAUUAUUUAAAGAAUAAAUAGCAGCUACAUAACAUAUCCACAAAGGUCACCAUCUAAUCAACCUAUAAAUAUUCAGGAAGUACAGAUUCAUUCUAUCUCAUACUCUUAAACUCAUAUACUAAAAAACAUAUUAUCUUUGUCCUCCUACUGACUUAAGCAUCAUAGAUUUUUUUUAGGUGGACCUCCCCCUAUCAUCGGAGACCAAUUGAAGGCUCGUCCCCCGAGGAACAUGCGAUCCUCGCCAAGUUACACUCCCAAACAUUUGGUGCCCACUGUGGGCCCUUGGCAAAACCUCUCUUGGGACCACCAAAACAAUUGACACAUCCUACAGAAAUCCCUAACAGGACAACACAAAUCAAUAGCUGGAAUCCUUCCUUCGGAGAAACAAGGAGAACCUACAAAAAAUCAUGAGUGAUGCCCUAGGCCAGAUGUAGGAAAAAAUGGAGCAAGAUCUGGCAUCCCUAAAGGAGAAACACAAGUUGGAUCUGGAGCAACAAAGGUUGGAUUUGUUGGCAUCGCAUGAUCAUAUGGCUCGUAGAGAUGACAACCCUACUCAAGGAAACCCCUUGUCCUCAGACCGCACUGCGAAAUCCCGUAGAGCCCCCUUUAGGAAUUCCGCUCAGGGGAGAUGAACAACCCAGACUCCCACCGAACGAUCAUCAUGGAGGAAGACCCCGACAAUUACCACUCAAGACUCAUUAGGGCAGGGAAGUUGGGGGUAUGAACAUCAACCCUUUAAGGCACUCCCUAGCCCGUUGGUCAACCGAGCGAUGAAGGCGAACCUAAGAGGUUUCCAUCCCUUCACCAAGGAGGUGAUGAAGGCUCAACUACCCCAAAGAUGGAGUUGGCCCAACUUGGAGAAAUAUUCGGGAACAUCGCACCCUGAAGCUCAUGUCAAGACUUACAUGAUGCAGGCUCAGUUGUUCUCAUAAAACAUGGACGUUCAUUUUCGUUUGUUCCCCAUCACUCUGAUUGAGUGGCUUUGGAGUGGUAUUACUCUUUACCUCGGAACUCGGUGAAUUCCUUCGACACCUUUUGUGGAUGGUUCCUACCCCAGUUCACCUAUUGUAAACUCGUACCUACCACCUUGGCGUCCUUGCACAAUGUCGUGCAAGGAAAAGGUGAAGGACUGAGGUCAUUCAUGGCCCGCUUUGCCCGAGCCUCUUUAAACAUACCUAAUCUUCACUCUGCAGUGUUAAUGCACGCUCUAUUGGUAGGCUUACGCUCGAGUAAAGUCCUGGAAACCCUAUAAGUUGAACCUCUGAAAGACAUGGAUCAAUUAAGGGCCAGGGCGACAAGGUACACGAGCAUCGAAGAAAAUUUCGAUGCUCGGAGAAAGUUGGUGAAGGCACCAACCACGACGACCUUCGCAGGUCACAAAAGAAGGAGACCGGGAAAUUUAAAAACUGUAAAAAAUAGACACUCACUCACACUUAAAUUCUCUCUAAAAGAAACACUCUUCUUUGCAAUUCUCUCUAUUGUAUUUCUUUCUGUGGUGUAUCUUACAAUUGAGAGAGCAUCCUAUUUAUAGGCUUUAGGAAGCUCUUCUAGAAAAGUCUUCAUUAUGGCCUUAAAACCCCACUAACAACACAAUUAAAAUCCCACUCACAACUUUUGACCUUUUACAUAUCCAAACUCCCAUUCUACUCUUUUCUAGUAACUUCUAACUUUAAAACCCACAAAUUACAUUAAAGUUUAUUCAACAAAA